This 503-nucleotide ribosomal RNA is filed under the name uncultured bacterium. Its description in RNAcentral is "partial 16S ribosomal RNA". It matches the Rfam family "Bacterial small subunit ribosomal RNA", at positions 94 to 630 of the family's 1533-position model. The record is from RNAcentral.
AGGGGCGACCGGGUGAGUAACACGUGAUUAUAAAAAAAACGAGUGGGGAAUAACUCCGGGAAACCGGGGCUAAUCCCUUUAUCAUCGAGAGAUCAAAGCAGCAUUGCGCUUGAGGAGGGGGUCGCGGCUGAUUAGCUAGUUGGCGGGGUAAUGGCCCCCCCCGGCGAAAAUCGGUAUCCGGCCUGAGAGGGCGCACGGACACACUGGAACUGAAACACGGUCCAAACUCCUACGGGAGGCAGCAGUGGGGAAUUUUGCGCAAUGGGGGAAACCCUGACGCAGCAACGCCGCGUGGAGGAUGAAGUCCCUUGGGACGUAAACUCCUUUCGACCGGGACGAUAAUGACGGUACCGGUGGAAGAAGCCCCGGCUAACUUCGUGCCAACAGCCGCGGUAAUACAAGGGGGGCAAGCGUUGUUCGGAAUUAUUGGGCGUAAAGGGCGCGUACGCGGUGCGGUAAGUCACCUGUGAACCCUCUGGGCUCAACUCAAAGCCUUCAGGGCA